This 389-nucleotide ribosomal RNA is filed under the name uncultured bacterium. RNAcentral describes it as "bacterial SSU rRNA". It matches the Rfam family "Bacterial small subunit ribosomal RNA", at positions 29 to 417 of the family's 1533-position model. The record is from RNAcentral.
AUUGAACGCUGGCGGCGUGCUUAACACAUGCAAGUCGAGCGGUAACAGGCGUAGCAAUACGUGCUGACGAGCGGCGAACGGGUGCGUAAUACAUGGGAAUCUGCCCUUUAGUGGGGAAUAACCCGGCGAAGGCCGGGCUAAUGCCGCAUGAGAUCUUCGGAUGAAAGCGGGGGAUCGUAAGACCUCGCGCUGAUGGAUGAGCCCAUGUCGGAUUAGCUAGUUGGUGAGGUAACGGCUCACCAAGGCGACGAUCCGUAGCUGGUCUGAGAGGACGGCCAGCCACACUGGGACUGAGACACGGCCCAGACUCCUACGGGAGGCAGCAGUGGGGAAUAUUGGACAAUGGGGGAAACCCUGAUCCAGCGACGCCGCGUGUGUGAAGAAGGCCU